UACAGAGGUGGCAAGCGUUGCUCGGUAUCACUGGGCUUAAAGGGCGCGUAGGCGGUGCGGUACGGUUUCGGUGAAAUCCCUCGGCCCAACCGAGGAACAGCCGGGGCUACGGCCGCGCUAGACGGCAUCAGGGGACAGUGGAAUUUCCGGUGGAGCGGUGAAAUGCGUAGAGAUCGGAAAGAACACCAACGGCGAAAGCACUCUGCUGGGCCGACACUGACACUGAGAGACGAAAGCUAGGGGAGCGAAUGGG
RNAcentral lists this ribosomal RNA (253 nucleotides) under uncultured bacterium. RNAcentral describes it as "partial 16S ribosomal RNA". It matches the Rfam family "Bacterial small subunit ribosomal RNA", at positions 524 to 776 of the family's 1533-position model. The record is from RNAcentral.